RNAcentral lists this long non-coding RNA (499 nucleotides) under Chrysolophus pictus (golden pheasant). Its description in RNAcentral is "lncRNA (ENSCPIG00010004847.1)". The record is from RNAcentral. Lineage: Eukaryota; Metazoa; Chordata; Aves; Galliformes; Phasianidae.
CUUGCAACACUCUGCUUCUAACUUGCCCAGUCUGCAGCAUCUCAGACAUACCCAUGGAAGGAUAAACUAGAAGCAUGUAAAGAAAAGAAGAGUAAUUCAGACAAAUUUUAGGUGUUGUGCUUUCCUGCUUGAGCAAAAUACACUUACUGGACAACUAUAGAAAGAAAACUGCAGAAGAGAAGUUACAUUUAUGCAAAAAGCCCACUUCUACUAAGACCAAGAGAAUUGUAAGAUGCUCUCCUACUUGUCACCCAUCUCUACAAAUGCUGCUUACCUGCUUGAUUUUGUUUGAGAAACCUUAUUUGAAUGCAUAACAUACUGAAAAGGUAAGAUGGAAAAGAUCUUCCUUUCAUUUGCAAUAGCAAGAGUUGAAUAAUCGCAGCAGUUUAUUUCUACCUUACUGUCUCUUAGCAGUGUUAUUUAGACAAAUCAAGUACCUAACCACAUCUAAGGAUGAAAAAAGGUUGAGCCUUUGUGUGCAUUUGAUUUUGCUUCUCCA